AUUGAACGCUGGCGGCAUGCUUUACACAUGCAAGUCGAACGGUAACAGGUUAAGCUGACGAGUGGCGAACGGGUGAGUAAUGCAUCGGAACGUGCCCGAUCGUGGGGGAUAACGCAGCGAAAGCUGCGCUAAUACCGCAUACGAUCUGAGGAUGAAAGCGGGGGACCGUAAGGCCUCGCGCGAUCGGAGCGGCCGAUGUCAGAUUAGGUAGUUGGUGGGGUAAAGGCCCACCAAGCCGACGAUCUGUAGCUGGUCUGAGAGGACGACCAGCCACACUGGGACUGGGACACGGCCCAGACUCCUACGGGAGGCAGCAGUGGGGAAUUUUGGACAAUGGGCGAAAGCCUGAUCCAGCAAUGCCGCGUGCAGGAAGAAGGCCUUCGGGUUGUAAACUGCUUUUGUACGGAGCGAAAAGGCCCUUUCUAAUACAGGGGGCUCAUGACGGUACCGUAAGAAUAAGCACCGGCUAACUACGUGCCAGCCGCCGCGGUAA
This 493-nucleotide ribosomal RNA is filed under the name uncultured bacterium. Its description in RNAcentral is "partial 16S ribosomal RNA". It matches the Rfam family "Bacterial small subunit ribosomal RNA", at positions 29 to 523 of the family's 1533-position model. The record is from RNAcentral.